RNAcentral lists this unclassified non-coding RNA (352 nucleotides) under soil metagenome. RNAcentral's name for it is "partial contains 5.8S ribosomal RNA, internal transcribed spacer 2, and large subunit ribosomal RNA". The stretch from base 1 to 120 matches the Rfam family "5.8S ribosomal RNA", at positions 35 to 154 of the family's 154-position model. The record is from RNAcentral.
GAUGAAGAACGCAGCGAAAUGCGAUAAGUAAUGUGAAUUGCAGAAUUCAGUGAAUCAUCGAAUCUUUGAACGCACAUUGCGCCCGCCAGUAUUCUGGCGGGCAUGCCUGUUCGAGCGUCAUUACAACCCUCAGGCCCCCGGGCCUGGCGUUGGGGAUCGGCGGAGCCCCCCGUGGGCACACGCCGUCCCCCAAAUACAGUGGCGGUCCCGCCGCAGCUUCCAUCGCGUAGUAGCUAACACCUCGCGACUGGAGAGCGGCGCGGCCACGCCGUAAAACACCCAACUCUUCUGAAGUUGACCUCGAAUCAGGUAGGAAUACCCGCUGAACUUUAGCAUAUCAAUAAGCGGAGGA